Molecule: long non-coding RNA, 315 nt
Filed under: Carica papaya (papaya)
Lineage: Eukaryota; Viridiplantae; Streptophyta; Magnoliopsida; Brassicales; Caricaceae
Description: long non-coding RNA (CPAP_LNC006444)
Source: RNAcentral
ACAAAGCCAAAGCAUGAUAUAAAAAAUAAUAAUAAAUUAGAGUUCAAACAUGAUCCUAAAACCAAAAAACCAGAAUCUGCUUACUACCCAUGCCCAUAUAUUAUCCAUUAGGAAUCAAAAAUCACAGUUACAGAAGAACAAAAAAAACUUAAAAUACAGAAUCUGCAUCCUUAACAUUUAUACUGAAAAUCAUAAACAAUCAUAUACGGAAAGCAAAAAAAAAAAAAAAUCAAAAAUCACAGUUACAGAAGAACAAAAAAAACUUAAAAUUCAGAAUCUGCAUCCUUAACAUUUAUACUGAAAAUCAUAAACAAU